UUUUCUAUGUAUACAUCUUGUAAUAUAAACAGCAAAAGCCCUGUACAUUGAUGACAAGUCAGAAUACAAAAAAACCUUCUCCCUAAACUUCGUCCUUCUCUUCUUCUUCUCGUCUGUUCCUUGCUUGCCUUCGGUUUCUAACAUGGUAUCAAAGCUUUGGCUUUAAGCUCCAUCUUCCGCAACUGAUUACUUUUGAAGCUGCAGGACAGAUCAACGUCUUGAUUACGAAAGAAUCAAAUUCUGUAAGAAGGAAGAAGAAACGGAAAUUUUUUUCUUACCUUGAAUCUAGAGAAUCUGCUCCCUGGCACU
This 309-nucleotide long non-coding RNA is filed under the name Eucalyptus grandis. RNAcentral describes it as "long non-coding RNA (EGRA_LNC000971)". Lineage: Eukaryota; Viridiplantae; Streptophyta; Magnoliopsida; Myrtales; Myrtaceae. The record is from RNAcentral.